AACGCACCUUGCGCCCCUUGGAAUUCUAAUGGGCAUGCCUGUUUGAGUAUCAUGAAAUAUUUUCAAAAAAUGGACUUGCUCGAUUUUUUGGAUUUGGAUGUCUGCUGUUUGAAAGCUCAUCCUAAAUGAAUUAGCUUGAGAACUCUCUCCCUUUGGCAUAAUAAUAUACUUUUAUUGCUUCAGUUUGGAGAAGGGAAUUGAGCUUCUAAAAAGUCGAAAUGAAAAAAAUAAAGAAAGGCGUUCCUCUCUUUUAACACAGAGGGUUGUUAGCAUCGAUCUUUGUUUUUCUUGUCUCUUCUCUUUUCAAAAUUUGAUCUCAAAUCAGGUAGGACUACCUGCUGAACUUAA
This 348-nucleotide unclassified non-coding RNA is filed under the name uncultured fungus. RNAcentral describes it as "sequence contains ITS2". The record is from RNAcentral. Lineage: Eukaryota; Fungi.